This 460-nucleotide ribosomal RNA is filed under the name uncultured bacterium. RNAcentral describes it as "partial 16S ribosomal RNA". It matches the Rfam family "Bacterial small subunit ribosomal RNA", at positions 338 to 795 of the family's 1533-position model. The record is from RNAcentral.
CCUACGGGUGGCAGCAGUGAGGAAUAUUGGUCAAUGGACGAGAGUCUGAACCAGCCAUGCAGCGUGAAGGAUGACUGCCCUAUGGGUUGUAAACUUCUUUUAUAUGGGAAUAAAACGUUCCACGUGUGGGAUUUUGUAUGUACCUUAUGAAUAAGGAUCGGCUAACUCCGUGCCAGCAGCCGCGGUAAUACGGAGGAUCCGGGCGUUAUCCGGAUUUAUUGGGUUUAAAGGGAACGGAGGUGGAUGGUUAAGUCAGUUGUGAAAUUUUGCGGCUCAACCGUAGAAUUGCAGUUGAAACUGGCAGUCUUGAGUACAGUAGAGGUGGGCGGAAUUCGUGGUGUAGCGGUGAAAUGCUUAGAGAUCACGAAGAACACCGAUUGCGAAGGCAGUUCACUGGACUGCAACUGACACUGAGGCACGAAAGUGUGGGUAUCAAACAGGAUUAGAUACCCGUGUAGUC